GAUUUCUGGUUUGGCGCACUUGGCCCGUCGCGGUUACGCGUUUGUGUGCCGGUGUGCGCCUGCCAUCCAUCUGGAGAACGCUGUCGCCCUUCACUGGGUGGGCAGUGGUAUCCAGAUCUUUUACUUUGAAAAAAUUAGAGUGUUUAAAGCAGGCUUGUGCUAUGAAUACAUUAGCAUGGAAUAAUAAUUUAGGACUUUUGUUCUAUUUUGUUGGUUUCUAGGACGAAAGUAAUGAUUGAUAGGGAUAGUUGGGGGUGCUAGUAUUCAGCGGCCAGAGGUGAAAUUCUUGGAUUCGCUGAAGACUAACUUAUGCGAAAGCAUU
Molecule: ribosomal RNA, 322 nt
Filed under: Cercomonas sp.
Lineage: Eukaryota; Cercozoa; Cercomonadida; Cercomonadidae
Description: SSU rRNA
Rfam family: Eukaryotic small subunit ribosomal RNA (bases 81-322)
Source: RNAcentral